AUUGAACGCUGGCGGCAGGCCUAACACAUGCAAGUCGAACGAGUGGCGGACGGGUGAGUAAUGUCUGGUAAACUGCCUGAUGGAGGGGGCUAACUACUGGAAACGGUAGCUAAUACCGCAUACCAUCAGAUGUGCCCAGAUGGGAUUAGCUUGUUGGUGGGGUAACGGCUCACCAAGGCGACGAUCCCUGGCUUGUCUGAGAGUAUGACCAGCAACCCGGGCACGGGGACACGGUCCAGACUCCGACGGGAGGAAGCAGUGGUGAAUAUUGCACAAUGGGCGCAAGCCUGAUGCAGCCAUGCCGCGUGUAUGAAGAAGGCCUUCGGGUUGUAAAGUACUUUCAGCGGGGAGGCGUUACCCGCAGAAGAAGCACCGGCUAACGCCGUGCCAGCCGCCGCGGUAAUAC
This 406-nucleotide ribosomal RNA is filed under the name uncultured bacterium. RNAcentral describes it as "partial 16S ribosomal RNA". It matches the Rfam family "Bacterial small subunit ribosomal RNA", at positions 30 to 526 of the family's 1533-position model. The record is from RNAcentral.